RNAcentral lists this ribosomal RNA (441 nucleotides) under uncultured bacterium. Its description in RNAcentral is "bacterial SSU rRNA". It matches the Rfam family "Bacterial small subunit ribosomal RNA", at positions 958 to 1398 of the family's 1533-position model. The record is from RNAcentral.
AACGCGAAGAACCUUACCUACCCUUGAGAUCCGCGGAAUCUGGCAGAGAUGCUGGAGUGCCGAAAGGAACCGCGAGACAGGUGCUGCAUGGCUGUCGUCAGCUCGUGUUGUGAGAUGUUGGGUUAAGUCCCGUAACGAGCGCAACCCUUAUCCUUAGUUGCCAACAUGUAAUGGUGGGGACUCUAAGGAGACUGCUGGUGAAGAACCGGAGGAAGGUGGGGACGACGUCAAGUCAUCAUGGCCUUUAUGGGUAGGGCCACACACGUGCUACAAUGGGACGUACAGAGGGGAGCCAACCCGCGAGGGGGAGCCAAUCUCAGAAAACGUCUCGUAGUCCGGAUUGAAGUCUGCAACUCGACUUCAUGAAGUUGGAAUCGCUAGUAAUCGCGAAUCAGAAUGUCGCGGUGAAUACGUUCCCGGGCCUUGUACACACCGUAGUAC